AGUGAACGCUGGCGGUAGGCCUAACACAUGCAAGUCGAACGGCAGCACAGGAGAGCUUGCUCUCUGGGUGGCGAGUGGCGGACGGGUGAGGAAUACAUCGGAAUCUACUCUGUCGUGGGGGAUAACGUAGGGAAACUUACGCUAAUACCGCAUACGACCUACGGGUGAAAGCAGGGGAUCUUCGGACCUUGCGCGAUUGAAUGAGCCGAUGUCGGAUUAGCUAGUUGGCGGGGUAAAGGCCCACCAAGGCGUAGAUCCGUAGCUGGUCUGAGAGGAGGACCAGCAACACUGGAGCUGAGACACCGGCCAGUAGCCUACGGGAGGCAGUAGUGGGGAAUAUUGGACAAUGGGCGCAGGCCUAAUCCAGCCAUACCGCGUGGGUGAAGAAGGCCUACGGGUUGUAAAGCCCUUUUGUUGGGAAAGAAAUCCAGCUGGCUAAUACCCGGUUGGGAUGACGUUACCCAAAGACUAAGCACCGGCUAUCUUCGUGCCAGCCGCCGCCGUAA
RNAcentral lists this ribosomal RNA (506 nucleotides) under uncultured bacterium. RNAcentral's name for it is "partial 16S ribosomal RNA". It matches the Rfam family "Bacterial small subunit ribosomal RNA", at positions 29 to 523 of the family's 1533-position model. The record is from RNAcentral.